AAAUGAAUUGACGGGGACCCGCACAAGCAGCGGAGCAUGUGGUUUAAUUCGAAGCAACGCGAAGAACCUUACCAGGGCUUGACAUAUACAGGAAUAUGCUAGAGAUAGCAUAGUCCCUUCGGGGACUUGUAUACAGGUGGUGCAUGGUUGUCGUCAGCUCGUGUCGUGAGAUGUUGGGUUAAGUCCCGUAACGAGCGCAACCCCUAUCUUUAGUUACCAUCAGGUCAUGCUGGGGACUCUAGAGAGACUGCCGGUGAUAAACCGGAGGAAGGUGGGGAUGACGUCAAAUCAUCAUGCCCUUUAUGUCCUGGGCUACACACGUGCUACAAUGGUCUGAACAAAGCGCAGCGAACUCGUGAGAGCAAGCGAAUCGCAUAAAACAGAUCUCAGUUCGGAUUGUAGGCUGCAACUCGCCUACAUGAAGUCGGAGUUGCUAGUAAUCGUGAAUCAGAAUGUCACGGUGAAUGCGUUCCCGGGUCUUGUACACACCGCCCGU
Molecule: ribosomal RNA, 496 nt
Filed under: uncultured bacterium
Lineage: Bacteria
Description: bacterial SSU rRNA
Rfam family: Bacterial small subunit ribosomal RNA
Source: RNAcentral